Scomber japonicus (chub mackerel) is the source of this 391-nucleotide long non-coding RNA. RefSeq lists it as uncharacterized. The transcript has 3 exons. Lineage: Eukaryota; Metazoa; Chordata; Actinopteri; Scombriformes; Scombridae. The record is from RefSeq and is a predicted model, not a curated record.
GGUAAGUGGCUGGGGGAGACACAGAGCAGACAGCAAAAUAAACCAGAGUAGCUAGUAUCAUGGCCGGACUGGAGGAUCAUUGUGACAUUAUCGGACAGCUCCGAAGUUCAUGGACGCGCAUUGUCAUGGCAACGGGCGUAACAACUGCGCAAGCUGACCAACAUGGCAGAGUCUGAAGCGUCUGCUGCGGGACGCUCUGUUCCUGGGGGGAGGAAGAGGCAGAGGUCAGAGGUCAACCAGUUCAAUGAGCCUGAAACCAGGUGAGCUACAGGUGAGCAGACGCUGCAGGCUCACAGACUUACAGCUGAGAGAUAAUUCAGGACCUGGACCUUGAGCAGUCUCAUCAGCUGCAGCAGUCUGAUGAGGGACCCAAGCAUGAUGUUCAACCUAC